AGCUAUUUACAACACUCUGUGUGUCACCCUAAUGAUUCAUUACACUCCAUAGUGCUGUGAUGGCUGCCACCACGCUGAGCGCAGGGGAUGUAACCAGUGCCAUGUACUGUCUAUCAGUGCUAAUCAGAAGGGAAGCUAUGUGUUUGUACAGCUAAUAUCUCAUUAUAGUGGUGUUAUUUUACUCCUGAAUGUGUGAUGGUCAUAAUUGGAUUAUGGAAUGAGAGGACCUUAUGGAAUGAUGGCUCCCGUUCUAUUCUCUGUUAUGUAAUGGCUGCUUUCAGUUCACCUAUUGACUGUCAUUAAAGUGUGUGUACGGUAAAACUAAGUACAGUAAAUUGACACACAAUUGCGUGUUUUUGUCUUGAUCGGGCCUUUGACUCGCCAUCAGCAGGACCUGUACUUCCAGAACCCUAUCUUUGCCGUGGCCAGUCUCUGCUAGGUGCAGCUCCUCAUGGACCCCAGGAAGAAGUACAACAAACUCCACCCCUUAGUUGCUGAAAUAGUGGAUACAUGCCUAUAGAUCGAUCCUGCUGACAGGGCUACGUGCUCCAUGUUGCUCAUUCACCGAUACUUCUCCAAAGAUGGGUUCCCUGAAAGAUUCAUACCAAAGAUACAGGUGUUGAUAUUGAAAGAUACCAAGGUCAACAGCAUGCACAGGAUCCAUAGUGGCUUGUGGGAGGCACCAGAGGAGUUGGGAGCAGUAGUCCCAUUCUCAUGUAACAGAAAACCAGUGAAGGUAUAAACUACAUGGACCCUUAGUCAUUUAGCAUAUUCUUACCAAGAGCAUUUUACCAUCUGUAUGUACAAUAAAAGGGGCAGAGCAACUAUAAUACAAGUCAAAGCCUAUAUACUGCACUAUAGAAAUGGUUGUACAAGAUCCAUACCAGUCAACCGUAUUGAACAUGGACUGCUAUUUGUUUUAGGACACUGAAUAGGGCAGGCGUGGAAAGGAGCCUGAGCAUAAGCCUUCCAGGGCAGGCAGGAGGUCAGGAUGACCGACAGCCCUGUCUCAUCUCAGACUGACAGCCCUGUACCUCCACCUCUACCUCUACCCCAGAACCCCCUCACUCUAAGGCCAUCUUUCCUGUCACCUUCACCGUGCCCCAUCAACGCCAGCAACAUCCUGUUCGCUGCCGUCCCUGUUCCCCGCUUUAUAGAAGUCAACAAGUCCCGGUCAGUGGCUCUCAGAUCAGAGAGAUAUAGGAUACCGCUUUACAGCUUUAUCUGGUAAAGUGGCAUUCAGAAUACCACCCAGUCAUUUCAGAGUAUCUAUAACAGUACAUACAAACUGUAUCUUAAACAUAUUUACAGUGCCUUGCAAAAGUAUUCAGACCCCUUGGAUUUCUUCACAUUUUAUUGUGUUACAAAGUGGGAUUAAAAUGCAUUUAAUUGUGAUUUUUUUGGGUCAACAAUCUACUCAAAAUACUCUAUGUCAAAGUGGAAGAAUUGUAAAAAAAAAUGUUUUAUAUGAAUACAAAUUUGAUACCUAAAUAGUCGAUGCAUAAGUAUUCAGCCACUUUCUUCAAAUGAGCCUAAAUUAGUUCAGGAGUAACAUUUGUCUUAAAUCAUAUAAUAGGUUACAUGGACUCACUCUGUGGGAAAUAAUGUAGGGGUUGACAUGAUUUUUGUCUAUAACUAACCGUUCCCCUGUCCCCCAUACAUUCAACAUAUGUAAGGUCCCUCAGUCAAGUAUUUCACUUCAAGCACAGAUUCAACUACAAAGACCAGGGAGCUUUUCGAAAGCCUCAUAAAUAAGGGCAGUGAUUGGUAGAUAUGGAACAAUAACAAAUCAGACGUUGACUAUAUCUUUAAGCAUGUUCAAGUUAAUAAUGAUGCUGUGGAUUAUGUAUUAAACCACACAGACAGAUCGAACAUACAGUCAUCCUUCUGAACUGAGCAACAGGACAGGAAUGAAACUGCAUAGGGAUGUUACCAUGAGGCCGUUGGUGAUUCAAUGGCUGGGAUGGAAGAAAACUGAGGAUGGAUCAACAACAUUGUAAUAACCACAAUAAUGACUUACGACAAAGUGAAAGGAAUAAUACAAAUUCACAGAAUACAAAAAAAUGUCAAAACAUGCAUCUUGCAUGAAACAAGACACUAAAGUAAUACUGGGAAAAAAAAGGAAUACACUUUUUGGCCUAAAUGCGAAGCUUUAUGUUCAGGGACAAUCCAACACAACACAUCACUGAGUAAAUGCCUCCUUAUUUUAAAGGAUGGUGGUGGCUGCAUCAUGGUAUGGGUUUGCUUGACAUCUGCAAAGUAAUGGGGAGUCUUUUAGGAUAAAAGGAAACGAUGGUGUUAAGCAUAGACAAAAUUCUAGAGGAAAACCGACGGCAGUCUGCUUUACACCAGACACUCAGAGAGGAAUUCACCAUUCAGCAGGAUAAUUACCAAAAUCACAAUGCCAAAGUUCCUUACCAGGAAGACAGUGAAUGUUCCUGAGUGGCCAAUAAUUCCAGGUUGUAAGGUAACAAAAUAUGAAAAAUACUGUCAGGGUUUUCCUGUGGUGAAGUAGAGGACCAAAACGCAGCGUGGUUAUAUUGACUCAUGUUUAAUAAAAACAUGAACACUACAAAACAAUAAACGUGGAAAACCAAAAACAGCCCUAUCUGGUGUAAAACACAGAGACAGGAACAAUCACCCACAAACACACAGUGAAACCCAGGCUACCUAAGUAUGAUUCUCAAUCAGAGACAACUAAUGACACCUGCCUCUGAUUGAGAACCAUACUAGGCCGAAACAUAGAAAUACCCCAAAGCAUAGAAAAACAAACAUAGAC
Long non-coding RNA from Oncorhynchus nerka (sockeye salmon), 2779 nucleotides. RefSeq lists it as uncharacterized. The record is from RefSeq and is a predicted model, not a curated record. The transcript is spliced from 3 exons. Lineage: Eukaryota; Metazoa; Chordata; Actinopteri; Salmoniformes; Salmonidae.